AGAGCGAACGCUGGCGGCAGGCCUAACACAUGCAAGUCGAACGGACUCUUCGGAGUUAGUGGCGGACGGGUGAGUAACACGUGGGAACGUGCCUUUAGGUUCGGAAUAGCUCCUGGAAACGGGUGGUAAUGCCGAAUGUGCCCUUCGGGGGAAAGAUUUAUCGCCUUUAGAGCGGCCCGCGUCUGAUUAGCUAGUUGGUGAGGUAAAGGCUCACCAAGGCUACGAUCAGUAGCUGGUCUGAGAGGACGACCAGCCACACUGGGACUGAGACACGGCCCAGACUCCUACGGGAGGCAGCAGUGGGGAAUUUUGGACAAUGGGCGAAAGCCUGAUCCAGCCAUGCCGCGUGCAGGAUGAAGGCCUUGGUUG
This 369-nucleotide ribosomal RNA is filed under the name uncultured soil bacterium. RNAcentral's name for it is "bacterial SSU rRNA". It matches the Rfam family "Bacterial small subunit ribosomal RNA", at positions 26 to 425 of the family's 1533-position model. The record is from RNAcentral.